CCUACGGGAGGCAGCAGUGGGGAAUCUUGCGUAAUGGCCUAACGGCUGACGCAGCGACGCCGCGUGUGGGAUGAAGCUCUUCGGAGUGUAAACCACUGUUGCCCGGGACGAACAGCUCGAUUUCUCGAGCCUGACGGUACCGGGUGAGGAAGCACCGGCUAACUCCGUGCCAGCAGCCGCGGUAAUACGGGGGGUGCGAGCGUUGUCCGGAAUCACUGGGCGUAAAGGGCGCGUAGGUGGUUUGAUAAGGGUGUGGUGAAAGUCCGGGGCUCAACCCCGGAUCUGCCGUGCCGACUGUCAAACUCGAGGACUGUAGAGGCAGACGGAAUUCUGGGUGUAGCGGUGGAAUGCGUAGAGAUCCGGAGGAAGACCGGUGGCGAAGGCGGUCUGCUGGGCAGUUUCUGUCACUGAGGCGCGACAGCGUGGGGAGCAAACAGGAUUAGAUACCCUGGUAGUCCACGCCGUAAACGAUGGGUACUAGGUGCCUGGGGGAGCGACCCUCUGGGUGCCGGCGCUAACGCAGGAAGUACCCCGCCUGGGGAGUACGACCGCAAGGUUGAAACUCAAAGGAAUUGACGG
Molecule: ribosomal RNA, 579 nt
Filed under: uncultured bacterium
Lineage: Bacteria
Description: bacterial SSU rRNA
Rfam family: Bacterial small subunit ribosomal RNA
Source: RNAcentral